RNAcentral lists this ribosomal RNA (496 nucleotides) under uncultured bacterium. Its description in RNAcentral is "partial 16S ribosomal RNA". It matches the Rfam family "Bacterial small subunit ribosomal RNA", at positions 28 to 507 of the family's 1533-position model. The record is from RNAcentral.
GACGAACGCUGGCGGCGUGCCUAAUACAUGCAAGUAGAACGCUGAAGAGAGGAGCUUGCUCUUCUUGGAUGAGUUGCGAACGGGUGAGUAACGCGUAGGUAACCUGCCUUGUAGCGGGGAUAACUAUUGGAAACGAUAGCUAAUACCGCAUAACAAUGGAUGACACAUGUCAUUUAUUUGAAAGGGGCAAUUGCUCCACUACAAGAUGGACCUGCGUUGUAUUAGCUAGUAGGUGAGGUAAUGGCUCACCUAGGCGACGAUACAUAGCCGACCUGAGAGGGUGAUCGGCCACACUGGGACUGAGACACGGCCCAGACUCCUACGGGAGGCAGCAGUAGGGAAUCUUCGGCAAUGGGGGCAACCCUGACCGAGCAACGCCGCGUGAGUGAAGAAGGUUUUCGGAUCGUAAAGCUCUGUUGUAAGUCAAGAACGGGUGUGAGAGUGGAAAGUUCACACUGUGACGGUAGCUUACCAGAAAGGGACGGCUAACUACGUG